Small nucleolar RNA from Myotis lucifugus (little brown bat), 66 nucleotides. Its record names the gene SNORD42. It matches the Rfam family "Small nucleolar RNA SNORD42". Rfam says of the family: snoRNA U42 is found in intron 3 of the ribosomal protein L23a (RPL23a) gene in humans and is also present in mice. U42 is a member of the C/D class of snoRNA which contain C (UGAUGA) and D (CUGA) box motifs. Lineage: Eukaryota; Metazoa; Chordata; Mammalia; Chiroptera; Vespertilionidae. The record is from Ensembl.
AAGGAAAUGAUGGCAAAAUCACUAUUUGAGGAGCAAAUUACAUAAACAAAGGAACCACUAAUGCAC